Molecule: non-coding RNA, 87 nt
Organism: Vibrio mimicus CAIM 602
Lineage: Bacteria; Pseudomonadati; Pseudomonadota; Gammaproteobacteria; Vibrionales; Vibrionaceae
Source: Rfam
UAACUAGCUUGCCAGCGUAAGCUGGCACUGAUCAGCGCGGUUGUUUUUGCAACCGUAUAAUAAGAAGUCGUUACGCACUGAGCUUGA